CAACUUUGAGCGGUGGAUCACUCGGCUCGUGUGUCGGAUGAAGAGCGCAGCCAACUGUGUGAAUUAAUGUGAACUGCAUACUGCUUUGAACAUCGACAUCUUGAACGCACAUUGCGGCCACGGGCUAGCCUGUGGCCACGCCCGUCCGAGGGUCGGCUU
This 159-nucleotide ribosomal RNA is filed under the name Postmonorchis sp. SA-2013. RNAcentral describes it as "5.8S ribosomal RNA". It matches the Rfam family "5.8S ribosomal RNA". Rfam says of the family: 5.8S ribosomal RNA (5.8S rRNA) is a component of the large subunit of the eukaryotic ribosome. It is transcribed by RNA polymerase I as part of the 45S precursor that also contains 18S and 28S rRNA. The record is from RNAcentral. Lineage: Eukaryota; Metazoa; Platyhelminthes; Trematoda; Plagiorchiida; Monorchiidae.